This is an RNA transcript of Sinocyclocheilus anshuiensis, 5005 nucleotides long. It is a transcript of the gene named dual specificity protein phosphatase 3-like, with no coding region annotated. The transcript is spliced from 4 exons. NCBI's taxonomy places the organism in Eukaryota, Metazoa, Chordata, Actinopteri, Cypriniformes, Cyprinidae. The record is from RefSeq and is a predicted model, not a curated record.
AAUUUCUUUGUGACAUACACUUUUGGACCAGAUAACAAAUUUUCCUAAUGGGAGCUCUUGUAAUUGGCUUGAUUGUGGGUCAAAUUACACCUAAUCACAGGUGGGUCAAGGUUGAGAGUUAAAAUACAAGGGUUAAAAGCCACUUGUUGGAUUAAAACAAGAGAGAGAGAAAUAAAUAAAAAAUCCUUCUUACUUUCAGUACGCCUGCCUGUCAUGACAUCAAUUAACACACAAAUCUAGCCUUACGUGAAGGGAGGGGUUGAUGUUUGGGAAUAGACUAGUGUUAAUAGAUCAAUGAGCGUUACAAAACGGAUUGCGUGUAUAACGAGCGUCACAGACACACGUUUACGCACAACAGGCUAAAUGAACACGUGAAAUGCUGUCUAACCUGUCAGAAAAGUGAAUGGAUUCGAUGAGAGAGAGAGUGGUUCACUUUAAAGCAGCUCUCAAUGACUUGUGUAUCGGUGCGUUGUCGCCAUCUUCUGCCAGUUCUGUUUGUUACCGACCUCACCGGAGCAUCACAUCAGACCGCCGGUGGGCGAGUCCCGGGUGUGUCUGUCUGCCUGCCUGCGUUCAGGAGAGCACGCUAACAACACCGAGUAGGUAGGGAAAUAAAAUGCUGGGGAAUCGAAAGCCGUGACAUCUUCACCACUAGACACUUGUUGUUGUUGUUUUUUUUUUUGCUUUUGGAGGAGGACUGAAGCAUGAAGAAACAUCACAGCCCCGCGAAGGGACCACUGGAAGUCACCGUACCAGACACCGAGGCGACCAUUGAACAACUCAACAAGCUGCUGUCCAACGGCAGCGGUUUUUACAGCCUCCCAGCACAACAUUUCAACGAGGUCUUUCCCAGGAUUUACAUCGGCAAUGCGUUUGUGGCCCAGAAUGUGAUGCGUCUGCAGCGGCUGGGUGUGACACACAUACUGAAUGUCGCAGAGGGAAACUCUUUCAUGCAUGUGAACACCAACGCAGAGUUCUACGCAGGAACUGGGAUCACGUACCAUGGCAUACAGGCCAAUGACACUGAGCAGUUCAACAUCAGUGCCUUCUUUGAGGAAGCAGCAGACUUCAUCGAUAAGGCUCUGGCACAUGGAAAAGGAAAGGUGUACGUUCACUGCCGUGAGGGCUACAGCCGUUCGCCCACUAUCGUCAUAGCUUACCUCAUGCUCCGUCACAAGAUGGAUGUACGAGUUGCAACGGGUACAGUAAGACACAAGAGAGAGAUCGGCCCAAAUGAUGGAUUCCUGCGCCAGCUGUGCCAACUCAACGAAAAGCUGGCGAAGGAGGGCAAGUUGAAGACCAAAUGAUAGAAUGUGCUCUACCCCCACAUUUAUUCACAAAUGCAGGCACACGGUCAAACUAGUGUGCACUAUUUCCAGUCCAAGUAUAUUAAUAGAAUGUAUGCAUACAUCCAGAGCAUAAGCAUGGAGAUAUACAAAGUGUAUUCAAACACACUUUCACAUACACACUCACACAAGGUGUUGUCAGUGUCCUGAAUAAUUACCCUUGCUUCCAGCUGGCUGGUAAAGGCAAAUUUACUGGCAUAUCUGAAUAAUUAAGGCUGUAGAAGGAGCAAGGGCAGCAUUUUACAUGUCAUCACAACUGUUUUGUUUUUGCAUUAUUCCCCAUGAUAAUUAGCUUCCGUUUUUUCACUAGGUACACCUGAAGCAUUCCAGUACCCAACUGUUUGUAUAUCUCACAAAUUCAACUUUUGGAGCAUAUUAGCCCAGUUGUCAUGUAAUGUAGAGCACAAUCAUCCUAUGGGUUCCAAUUUGACAGAAAUACUGCGAUUGCUCAUCCCAUUUCUAUAUGUAUGUGGUAGAAUAUGAUAUUUAGGUAUAAAAAAGCACGUCGAAUACAACUUUUAACCCAUUUACAGACCUACAGCCAGAUUUGUGAUGGCUUUCCAGCAUUUUAAAUCAGGAGGACAAAACUGUUGUGUACCAGCACACACCCCUUUCGCUCACUAAAUUAACAUUCCACUUUGUACCGAAUGGUAGCAUACAAUCAACAAGAUAUAUCUACAACAAGCCAACUGUAUGUUGUAGCUCAGAUUUAACAGACGCUACAAACAGGUUCAAACGGUUCUAUGCAGCAGUGAUAAUGCAUCAACCCCAUUAGAUCUCUUUACUCUAGAAUCACUGUCUCUCACUGCCAAGUCUCAUGCCACAUUUGGUCCAUCACAAGAUCACAGUCAGCCUUGACCAGAGAGACACGUCCGAUAGAUGGAGAGCCUCUGCCAUGCCAACUGCCUAAUGAUGUGCCCUUACACAAGGUUUGUAACCCAGAGGCCCAGUGCCCCUUCAUACUGUUAGUUCAGAGAUCGCAGGAAGCGUGUCAGUGACAUCUGUGGAGUGUAGACCAGAUUUUUAAGGGUAGCUGUUGAAACAGAUUAGGUUUACUUCGGGCUCAGCUUUGUCCUUAAAACAGAAUCACUUUAGCACUGGAAUUGACUCAUUUUGCUGCACUGCUGGCUUGUUUCAGGUUUUAAAGGGGUCAUAUCAUACGUAUUUUUAUCAUUUAAUUAUUUCCCCCGAGGUCCACUUAUAACGUUAGUCCAAUUAAGCAGGCCGUUUUUGCUGCUGUGCCUUUAAGACUUCUAUGUAAGCAUCCUUUUUGCAUGUGAAGGGAGUUACAUUGAUGAGUAACUGAUAGUUGUCGGUAUAGUUUAUGCUGUCCAUCGUUCAAUAACAGCAUCAUUGCGGCAGAUUCACAAAAAGGUCUGCACUGAAAUGUGCUGUUCAAACCAUUCAGAUCAGACUUUAACAGCAGAACUUUCCCACAUUUACUCUUUAUUCAGUUUUGGAAUAACAGUAUCCUUCCUACUUUCUCUGUAUAGCUUCUUUGGGACUGGUUUGGCUACACUGAUGUGUAAAUAUGGGCGGUCGUAUGUUAAAGUAUCCACAUUUUUGACAUCAAAAAUUUCAGUAUGAGACAUUUUUGUAGCUUGGCUUCAGUAAAUGGUCUUUUUGGACUGGGGAGAAAAUGUUGAUGUCUUAAAGUUAACCCAAAAAUGAGAUUUCUCAUAAUAUAUGACCUCUUUAAAGGAGAACCAGCAUCACUUCAUUUGGAAUAAGUGCAUGCUAAAGUUUCAAACACAUAGCUUUUUGAAUUAGUCUCAUUUCUCUUGUCAAAUUUGAUUGAUCUAAUAUUAAUAGCCCCUGGGCCUCUACAUUUAUUAUUACUGAAGGAAAAUAUAGUACAAAUCGUAGGCUAGAUUAUAACACAAAGCACUACUUAUGCCUCUUUUUUUAUAUUUCUAUAUUCCAGAUAUAUAUACUUGUAUAUACAUAUUUAGAUGUUGACAUAUAUGAAUGUAUGACCUGUCCAUAAUAUUUGUGUAUGACCAGUAUCUAUUAACAAUAGAAAUAACUAAUAAAUUGUAGUCAACAUCCAUUUUAUUUUGAAAUGCCAUGGCACAUUUACCCAAAAACACCACAUUUGUUUCACACACCCAGUUGUUUGCUAAAACUUCCAUAUAUUAUCCAGUUUUUCUUUUCGCUUUGAUGGAGAGUGGUGUAUUUGGCUUUAUUAUUUUAUAAUUUACAUUGUAUUAGAGGGUCAAAGUCUGUUUUCACAGGUAACACUGUUGCAGGCUACCUCACAACAUUCAUACUACUGUAGCUAAUCCACAAUAAUUGUUUAGUUUUUUUUGUGUGUGUGUGUCUAAGAACAUUUAAAAUGGACAAAUACCUAUAUGUAUGAAAACAUUAAAACUAUAAACAUUCCUUUAAUAUAAUCUGGAGACCUAGGCUUUAUACAACCUAAUCAGCUGUAGCUUUUGGAAACCUGUGUGCCGUCACAAAAAACGUGAACCAAUGAGGAUGGUCUGUGCCAAUGGCAAGCAAACUACGGGAGUUUAUCAGUCUGAAAUCUUCUUGUGCUUUUAGAGAUUUAAGCAGCAACUUUUAACCUCAAAAAGCAACAACACAUUUUGAAUACGCAUAUUUGGACAUUUCAACAUAAAGAUGUGUUUGCCGGCUCUGUUGGCUACAAGGCUUCAGAAGAUGAAGAAGAACACACCCUUUUCUGAACUGGAUCUGUGGAAGGAGAAACACUGCCAUCUGCUGUUGAUAAACCAUGUGGUUUGCACAAACUGGCCUGCUAUGUAUUGCCUUUUAUUCAAAUGUAUCCGAUUGUAUGUAUGUUACACAGUGCAUAGAAAUCGUAAACAAUAUAAUUAUACAGGGAAGAUUAAAUGAAAAUGGUUGUACCACUAUAUGGCUUAAUGAUGUCAUUAGUAUAUAACAAUGAAUCACAAUGCUGCUUGGUCACUUUGUAUGUAUGUCUCAUUAGUAUGUGAUAUUUUAGUUUGUAUUUUAAUAACACAAAGUAAGGUGUCUAAAGUGAUGCAUUUUUGAUGCACUUGCAUUUUUUGGCAUCGGUGCGAAGUAUUGUCUGUGCAUUUUUGCUUCUUUGUUUCGUCCAUGCGUACAAGCACAUAGUUGCAUUCAUGUGUGCACACACACACUUGCUCAAACGCCGCUGACUACAUGUAACUCUAUAUCGUCUAUGUGCCGUCUCUUACUCCUGUAUGCUUUGUGUUGUUGCUGUAAUGUGAUAUUGUAAAUGACUGACCACUUGUUUGUUGUAAAGGACAUGGAAACCUCAGCAGUUGCAAAUUUGGCAGGAGGGUUUGGCACAAAUGUUCACACUCUAAAAUUAUGUUCUGCAUUUUGAGUUCGCGAGUUGCUUGAUGUGACUAAACAACAGAUUUACGGUUUCGUUUUAAUCUGACUUAAUCAGGAAAGGAAUUACAGAUUGCUUGAAGUGGAGGUCAAAUGAAUGCAUUCACAUGACACAGGCUGUCUAAACAUCCCACCUUAAAGCCUUAGCCUGAAGAUGGAUUAUAUAUUUUUGAUUCAUGUCUUCACUUCACAAAGCUAGGUGUACAGCUUCUGCAGACACUUUGUUUAAGUGCACUUCAUUAAAUCACAGUUAUUUUUCUUACACUGUAAAAUGUUCUUUUGUUUUAUGAUGUCUGAAAAUAAAUCGCAAAAAUUAA